Molecule: transfer RNA, 75 nt
Filed under: Flavobacteriales bacterium
Lineage: Bacteria; Pseudomonadati; Bacteroidota; Flavobacteriia; Flavobacteriales
Description: tRNA-Glu
Rfam family: tRNA
About the family: Transfer RNA (tRNA) molecules are approximately 80 nucleotides in length. Their secondary structure includes four short double-helical elements and three loops (D, anti-codon, and T loops).
Source: RNAcentral
GGCCCGUUCGUCUAGCGGUUAGGACGUCAGAUUUUCAUUCUGGUAACAGGGGUUCGAUUCCCCUACGGGCUACAA